RNAcentral lists this non-coding RNA (23 nucleotides) under Arabidopsis thaliana (thale cress). The record is from RNAcentral. Lineage: Eukaryota; Viridiplantae; Streptophyta; Magnoliopsida; Brassicales; Brassicaceae.
AUAACACUCCCCUUGAUGACCAU